UAGGGAAUCUUCGGCAAUGGGGGGAACCCUGACCGAGCAACGCCGCGUGAGUGAAGAAGGUUUUCGGAUCGUAAAGCUCUGUUGUUAAGGAAGAACGAGUGUGAGAAUGGAAAGUUCAUACUGUGACGGUAGUUAACCAGAAAGGGACGGCUAACUACGUGCCAGCAGCCGCGGUAAUACGUAGGUCCCGAGCGUUGUCCGGAUUUAUUGGGCGUAAAGCGAGCGCAGGCGGUUAGAUAAGUCUGAAGUUAAAGGCAGUGGCUCAACCAUUGUAGGCUUUGGAAACUGUUUAACUUGAGUGCAGAAGGGGAGAGGGGAAUUCCAUGUGUAGCGGUGAAAUGCGUAGAUAUAUGGAGGAACACCGGUGGCGAAAGCGGCUCUCUGGUCUGUUACUGACGCUGAGGCUCGAAAGCGUGGGGAGCGAACAGG
Molecule: ribosomal RNA, 429 nt
Filed under: Bacteroidota bacterium
Lineage: Bacteria; Pseudomonadati; Bacteroidota
Description: Bacteroidetes bacterium partial 16S ribosomal RNA
Rfam family: Bacterial small subunit ribosomal RNA
Source: RNAcentral